UUCCGUAAGGGGGACUGCGGAAGGAUCAUUACCGAGUGCGGGUCCUUUGGGCCCAACCUCCCAUCCGUGUCUAUUAUACCCUGUUGCUUCGGCGGGCCCGCCGCUUGUCGGCCGCCGGGGGGGCGCCUUUGCCCCCCGGGCCCGUGCCCGCCGGAGACCCCAACACGAACACUGUCUGAAAGCGUGCAGUCUGAGUUGAUUGAAUGCAAUCAGUUAAAACUUUCAACAAUGGAUCUCUUGGUUCCGGCAUCGAUGAAGAACGCAGCGAAAUGCGAUAACUAAUGUGAAUUGCAGAAUUCAGUGAAUCAUCGAGUCUUUGAACGCACAUUGCGCCCCCUGGUAUUCCGGGGGGCAUGCCUGUCCGAGCGUCAUUGCUGCCCUCAAGCCCGGCUUGUGUGUUGGGUCGCCGUCCCCCUCUCCGGGGGGACGGGCCCGAAAGGCAGCGGCGGCACCGCGUCCGAUCCUCGAGCGUAUGGGGCUUUGUCACAUGCUCUGUAGGAUUGGCCGGCGCCUGCCGACGUUUUCCAACCAUUUUUUCCAGGUUGACCUCGGAUCAGGUAGGGAUACCCGCUGAACUUAAGCAUAUCAAUAAGACGGAGAGAACAUUACCGAGUGCGGGUCCUUUGGGCCCACCUCCUCGUGUCUAUUAUACCUGCUUGCUUCGGCGGGUCGCGCUGGUCGGCGCCGGGGAGGGCGCUCUUGCCCCGGGGCGUGCCGCCGAA
This 722-nucleotide ribosomal RNA is filed under the name Aspergillus sp. AHBR1. Its description in RNAcentral is "eukaryotic LSU rRNA". The stretch from base 218 to 371 matches the Rfam family "5.8S ribosomal RNA". The record is from RNAcentral. Lineage: Eukaryota; Fungi; Ascomycota; Eurotiomycetes; Eurotiales; Aspergillaceae.